RNAcentral lists this ribosomal RNA (114 nucleotides) under Zingiber officinale. Lineage: Eukaryota; Viridiplantae; Streptophyta; Magnoliopsida; Zingiberales; Zingiberaceae. The record is from RNAcentral.
GCGAUCAUAUCAGUACUAAUGCAUCGGAUCCCAUUAGAACUCUGAAGUUUAGCGUGCUUGGGCGAGAGCAGUACUAGGAUGGGUGACCCCUUGGGAAGUCCUCGUGUUGCACCU